GACGAACGCUGGCGGCGCGCCUAACACAUGCAAGUCGAACGGAGCUGAGAGAAGCUUGCUUUUCUUAGCUUAGUGGCGAACGGGUGAGUAACGCGUGAGUAACCUGCCCUGGAGUGGGGGACAACAGUUGGAAACGACUGCUAAUACCGCAUAAGCCCACGAUCCGGCAUCGGAUUGAGGGAAAAGGAUUUAUUCGCUUCAGGAUGGACUCGCGUCCAAUUAGCUAGUUGGUGAGGUAACGGCCCACCAAGGCGACGAUUGGUAGCCGGACUGAGAGGUUGAACGGCCACAUUGGGACUGAGACACGGCCCAGACUCCUACGGGAGGCAGCAGUGGGGGAUAUUGCACAAUGGGGGAAACCCUGAUGCAGCGACGCCGCGUGGAGGAAGAAGGUUUUCGGAUUGUAAACUCCUGUCGUUAGGGACGAUAAUGACGGUACCCAACAAGAAAGCACCGGCUAACUACGUG
This 468-nucleotide ribosomal RNA is filed under the name uncultured bacterium. Its description in RNAcentral is "partial 16S ribosomal RNA". It matches the Rfam family "Bacterial small subunit ribosomal RNA", at positions 28 to 507 of the family's 1533-position model. The record is from RNAcentral.